CAACCCCCAAGCAUUGCUUGGUAUUGGGCUCCGCUGCUCACCCAGCGGGCCUUAAAAUCAGUGGCGGUGCCGCCGGGCCCUGAGCGUAGUAAAUAUCCUCGCUAUAGGGACCCGGUGGACGCUGGCCAUCAACCCCCACUCUCUAA
RNAcentral lists this unclassified non-coding RNA (146 nucleotides) under uncultured Helotiales. RNAcentral's name for it is "sequence contains ITS2". Lineage: Eukaryota; Fungi; Ascomycota; Leotiomycetes; Helotiales. The record is from RNAcentral.